RNAcentral lists this non-coding RNA (30 nucleotides) under Rattus norvegicus (Norway rat). Lineage: Eukaryota; Metazoa; Chordata; Mammalia; Rodentia; Muridae. The record is from RNAcentral.
UAAUGCUGAACUGGCUACAGAAAUCAGUGU